ACUCGUCUCACUUUAACUGGUCUCGAGUCAUCAACAACAUUCCCAGUCGCAAACAUUGAUUCACGUCUGUAAUUCUUCUGGUUUCGAGUCCCAUCUCCUAGAAAUAAACAAGAGGUUUCGAGUAUUAUUUCCGAGGUCUCGACUCCCAUCUUCCCAACUGUGUUUCAUUGGUCUCGAGUCACGGUUUCGACUCAAGGCUUCAAUUUCAACUGGUCUCGACUCACAAACAUUACAAAGGUCUCGACUCAUCUUCACCCAGGUCUCGACUCAUCAUAGUCUCGACUCCACAACUGCACUCAUCAUUUCCACUGUCACAACUUUCACGGUUUCGAGCCCUAUCUUCAAGGUUUCGAGUCACUAGUCUCGACUCAAAGGUGAUUCCGAGUCAUUGUUCAUCACAAGUUCACUGUCUCGAGUCAUAUUCAUCACUACAGCUCUCGACUCACCAUGCCAAGUCCGAUUUUUUCAGUCGCAAUCUACGAGUAGCAACCUUCACUGUUUCGAGUCAUCUCCAUUCCGUCAUCUUGUUUCGAGUUCCACGUCUCGAGCUAUCAUCCGUUUUCAAGCCCCUACGUUUUCGAUUCGUCAUCGUGGUCCACCGUUCAUCACCGUUAAACACACCAUCCUCAAUCACCGUCAUUCAUCGUCGUAACAACCAUCUUCUCUGGUCUUCUUUAGUUCUCCGACCACUCUGCCACUCCGGCCAAUCAUCAUCAUUUCCGGCGACUGUUGACUGUCAUCAUCAUCAUUGCGGCUGUAUUUAAUAUUAGGGUUUGGACGGCGGUUAAACGAUGAAGAAGAUCAGUGAUAUAAUAGAAAGUUUAUUUGGGUAGGAAGCCUAGGAAGUAAUCUUGACCAUCUAUUUAUUUAAUCAAGGGCUAAGAUUAAAUGAAUGAAAUUGAAGGAAAAAAAAGGAGGCGUGUGGGUUUGUUAGGGGCAUUCUAGUCAAUCUAACACAAUAGUUUCUCUCUCUUCCAAUUCCACCCCCCCCCCAUUUUUUAAACGUUAAUAACUUUUUCAUACCACAUUAUUUUUUUUUAUAAAAAUUGCACCAAAAAAAACGAGCGUUUUUUUAUCUUUAAAACGAGUAUACUAUUGCUAUAUUUUCAAGAAAAUUUUUUUGAAAACCUAGUUGCGUAAAACGCAAUAGAGAAAACCCAGUUGCAUAAA
Molecule: long non-coding RNA, 1170 nt
Filed under: Helianthus annuus (common sunflower)
Lineage: Eukaryota; Viridiplantae; Streptophyta; Magnoliopsida; Asterales; Asteraceae
Description: hypothetical non coding rna
Source: RNAcentral